Gorilla gorilla gorilla (western lowland gorilla) is the source of this 7475-nucleotide long non-coding RNA. RefSeq lists it as uncharacterized. Lineage: Eukaryota; Metazoa; Chordata; Mammalia; Primates; Hominidae. The transcript is spliced from 2 exons. The record is from RefSeq and is a predicted model, not a curated record.
CGCACCGGCUGCUGGGCGGGAACUGGUCGCGUCCGGACGCGCGACAGCUUCCGCCCGCCUUAGGCAGUAUCAGCCGCGCCGCAGUCGGAGGAAAUAGAUGCGGGGCCUGAGGCUCAUGGACUUGAGCAAGCCUGUUACCCUCUGCGAGCCUCAACUUCUCUAUGUGUAACAAAUGGCCAACUUUAUGGGAUUGUCAAGAAGCUGAAAUGAGACCCUGGCUGGAGGAUAUUUUAUGGACUAUAAAUUCCUAAACAAUUAUAAUAACUUAGUUAUUUAUCCUAUCCAUGGAUCACCUGGAAGUUUACAAUGUGAUUUAAAAUGCAUUCUAUCAUUCCACCGACCUGCAGUGAAUUUUGUUGUCGUUAUUACUCCAGGGACACCUAAAGGGGAAGUUUGUUUAUAAUUCAUACCCACUCCUUGUAGAAAGGAUUCAAGGCAGCCGAUGAUGAAAACACCCAUGCUUGCAAGUGAAGGUUCUGCCUGUCACUUCUCGCAGAGGCUGCAGAAAAGGCCCAGGAGGCUGUUGAUGACAUGAACGACCACCAGGAGAAGCUGGAGCAGGCUGAUGCACAGAAGGGUGGAGAAGAGGGACACGUGCCAGACAACAGCUGCAGAGGGCUCCAGGCAGACGGAGUUCCAGAGCGAACGGUCAUACAGAUAAUUCCUAUCCCAAAAAAUAAGGAGACCAGGGGUCAGGCGAUAAGUAAGGAAAGCCAAACAGGCAACCCCAGUAGAAAACUGGGGUCUCCCCUGACCAGGUCAUGGGACUGGGCUCAUGAGGGUGACCAUUACUGCUCCAUUUGCAAUUUUCUGAGUAUCAGAGGAGCAAGAUGCUAGGAUGUGUGACCCAAAGGAGCUUGUAGUUCGUCUGUGUGUCUUUUUGUCUCUCUCUCUCUCUCUGUCUGAAAAGACCAAGCCCAAGCCUCCACCCAUUUACCUACUAUGCAGGUCUUUGAAUGGGUAACCAUAUUUCCAAGCUUGUGUCUGAUUGAAGGACGAAACAUCAAACAUGCAAAAAGGACCAUCUUUCAGAGCAACUCCAGAAGUGACAAAGCAAAUCAGGGCUCCAAGUAAAGCCAGGCCACCUGACAACAGAGCAGUAAGCACCUGCGGAGGGAGGAGAAACGCUGAGCUAAGACGGGGUCGUGGCUGGGGAGCCUGUGGGGCGGUCUGUACAGGUCUGACUUCUCUGGUCUCGGUGUUCUUCCGUCCUGUCAUGGGGGAGAAUUCUGUCCAUGGCACCCCCUUUGAAGCAUAACCCAUGGUGGGGAGGCCGUGAGGGGUUUCUAGGAGAGAAAGGACCAAGAAGCAGAAUCGCAGGCCCCGGAUCUCCCUGACUCCGUGAGUUCGCCUGAGCUGCUCAGCAGCUUGGCAUCACAAACCUUUUGCACAUUACAGCCAUUCAGCCUCUGAGCUAAAGAGGAAGCUACCACAGGCCCACCACUGACUCUUCUAAGGAAAAGCUGCAUUUUCAAAAGUUCCAGGUUCCCAACUCUGAUUCUUCUCUAUUUCAAAUCAAGGAUAAAAAAAAGGAAGGGAGGGAAGGAAGGAAAGAAAGAAGCAGGAAAGAAGGGAAGGAGAGAAGUGGGAGGGAGGGAAAGAAGGGAGAGAAACAGCGAGAGAGAAGCUGCAGCCAAGCUCUGAAAUGACUCCACUUGUCGCUGCGUUUCUCCAGCCAAGAGCUUUCUUGGCCAUCAGUCUGUGCUCCCACUGCCCUCCCAGAAAAUAACUGGGUUUCCUUCCUUGACAGGUUUCUAGGCUGCUUCUAUAUUGGCUUCUUUCUCGUUCCUUCCUUCCUUCUUUCUCUCUCUCUCUUUCUUUUUGAGACAGAGUCUCGCUCUGUCGCCCAGGCUGGAGUGCAGUGGCACAAUCUCAGCUCACUGCAACCUCCACCUCUGAGUUCAAGCGAUUCUCCUGCCUCAGCCUCCCAAGUAGCUGGGACUACAAGCAUGCGCCACCACACCCAGCUAAUUUUUGUAUUUUUAGUAGAAAUGGGGUUUCACUGUGUUGGUCAGGCUGGUCUCAAUCUCCUGACCUUGUGAUCCACCUGCUUCAGCCUCCCAAAGUGCUGGGAUUACAGGCGUGAGCCACCGUGCCCGGCCCAUAUUGGAUUCUUUCUUAGGGUUCUAGAUUUUUUUCUCCCUCCCCCAAAAAUGCCUGUUUUAAAAAUGUGAAUAACAUCUACAUAGCGUUUUUCUGCAGAGUCAUGGAGUCAUUCUCCCACUGAGGUCAAGCUGGUUUGGAGUUGGGGAGGGAUCAGAGAAAGGUGCAUAGUAAGUUUUGACUCUGAGUUAAAGGAUUCAAGAUGAAUCAGUAAGCCUAGGGCAGUGGUUCCCAAAAUGGGGUCCCUGCCCAGCCGCAUCACAUCACCUGAGAACCUGUUAGAAAUGCAAAACAUCCCCCUCAUCCUGAAUCAGAAACUCUGGGGAGGGAGCCCAGCAAUCCGUGUUCCGGCAAAAGCCCUCCAGGUGAUUCUCAUGCACAUUCAAGUGUCAGAACUACGUGCCUCAGGGAAAACCAGAAUGAGAACAGACAGUGAAUGAAAUGUGCAAGUGUUUAUUUAUUUAUCUAUUUACUUAUUUAUUUAUUUAUUUUGAAACGGAGUCUCGCUCUGUCCCCCAGGCUGGAGUGCAGUGGCGCCAUCUCGGCUCACUGCAACCUCCGCCUCCCAGGUUCAGGAGAUUUUCCUGCCUCAGCCUCCUGAGUUGCUGGGAUUACAGGCGCCCACCACCACGCCCAGCUAAUUUUUGUAUUUUUGGUAGAGACGGGGUUUCCCCAUGUUGGCCAGGCUGGUCUCAAACUCCUGACCUCAGGUGAUCCACCCAUCUUGGCCUCCCAAAGUGCUAGGAUUACAGGCGUAAGCCACCGCGCCUGGCCUAUAUUUGAUUUUUUAACAUGUAACUGAGUCAGUGGGCUUCCCAACAUGUGGGCUGCAGAUAUCAGAGCAGGCUGUGGAGUUACCAUAAGGCCACAGAUUCAUGUCUGAGAACGAGUGUGUGUGUGUGUGUGUGUUACACAUAUACUGAGAUCUUUCAAGUUUAUACAGUUGCUGCUGUAAUUAAUAAGGUAGAAAUUUAUUCUGGGCCUCAGUUUAUCUGUAAAAUGGAGGGGUUAGAUUAGAAUCUAGUGAUUAGAUGAUCUCUGGAAAACUUUCCUGUUCUAAGAAAACAUUAGUUAAAAUAACUAGGAAAAUUUCCAUCAAUGACACAUGAUUACAGUGUCACAACUCAUGUCCAUAUUGUCCAACACCCUAAGAGAGUAACAGUUUCUCACACUGGUACAGACGUCUGGGCUUCACUAAGCACUACUCCCUUGACUUGAUCAGCUCCCAUUUUACAGAUGAAAGCCUGAAACUGGAAAGAUGAAGCAACUUGCCCAAGAACUUAGCGUUACUGAGGGUCACAGUGAGGACCUGACUUCAGGCCCCAAGACCAAAAUUGCCUCUUUACCACCUGCCUCUAGAGUAAUAGAGGUGGAGACACUCUGGGUGUUAGAAGAGUGGAAUCUGGUGCUUACGCUUCGACAGAGCCCACUCUUACUGAAGCAGCCGUAUCUCCAGCCCAUCAAGGAGAUGAGGAUAGCUGCAGUGAGUACCUGCAGGAGAGAGAAGAAUGUUGAGAUGGGGAAAUUGACUUUGCCAGCUGUUUCUAGGUGCUGCCCACAGCUGUUAGAGUGGCUGGCACCUCACAUGAACUCAGUCGUCCUGUUGACUCUGACUCUGGGGACCCACAUGUGUAUGACGAGCCUGAUUUAACGCUGUGGAUGUUAACUUUCACACCCGACCUGCCUGGUCCCAAGCUAGGUUUCCUGUCUCUUAGAGCUUCUACAGAUCCAAGACCAGCUUGUUAGAAUAAACUUUUCUGCAAGGAAUCAAAACACUCUUCCCAUGCCACCUUCCUGCUCCCCGCUGGGGUCUCUUUGAGAGUUCAUGUUCAGGGAACCCCGGACACUUACCAUGAGGCCUCCUCCCCAGAGCCCAGUUCCCAGCAUGGCAUGCCUGCCAAGGAGGCCCCUCAACAGGUAGGUGACAUCCCAGUUAGGAAGGAGGAGUGCCACGUUGGCCCCAGCAGCAAACAGGGCUGCAGUCCCAAGGCUCAGUCCCAGGAUACGGGAGCAAGUCCGUGAGCUUGCCGGCGUGCAGGGAGAGGACACCAUCCUGGAACAGAUAGAAAGGGAGUCGCGGCAGCUCUGCUGUGGGGGGAUGGGGAAGGGAACUCCAGCAGCAUAUCAUGGGUGAGGGAAACAGACUACAGAAACCGCCACCUUCCAGGGUCAGACCAAUGAGAGCCAAGCAACCUGCUUAAAAACUCUGCUCCUUAGGAAUCUUCCCCAGUGACUAGGAUUUAAUUGUUUCCUUUUCUGCUAACCCCUGUUCACACAUACAUAGUUUGCAUUCCAUCAUAUUUUGUUUAUGCCUCUAUUACAGCCAGUGAUUAUUUCUGACAAAAAGAAAUGUUUAAAGGUGUCUUCAUGAUGUCCAUUGUCUCCACUUCUAUUCAACGUUGUACUGGUCCUAGCCAGUGCAAUACAAAAAUAAAAGGAAGCAAACGCCAUACAGAUAGGUAAGAAAGAAGUAAUAUUGUCGGCCGGGUAUGGUGGCUCACGCCUGUAAUCCCAGCACUUUGGGAGGCUGAGGCGGGCGGAUCACGAGGUCAGGAGUUCAAGACCAGCCUGGCCAACAUGGUGAAACCCCGUCACUACUAAAAAUACAAAAAUUAGCUGGGCACGGUGGUGGGCGCCUGUAAUCCCAGCUACUGGGGAGACUGAGGCAGGAGAAUUGCUUGAACCCGGGAGGCAGAGGUUGCAGUGAGCUGAGAUCAUGCCACUGCACUCCAGCCUGGAUGACACAGCAAGACUCCAUCUUAAAAAAAAAAAAAAAGUAACAUUGUUAUUAUUCACAGAUAAUGUGAUCACAUUAUGUAGAAAAUCCUAAAGAUUAUUAGAAUUAACAGGUGAGUUUAGCAAGGUCAUAGAAUAAAAGAUUAAUAUACAAAAAUUCUAUUGUAUAUACAAGCAAUGACAAAUUGAGGAUUGAAAUUAAAAUAUAUCAUUUACAAUAGCAUAAAAAUAUAAUACAUAUGGAUGAAUUUAACAAAAUAUUUGCAAGACCUAUAUAGUAAGAAUUGCAAACCACUGCUGAGAAAAUUAAUGGAGACCUAAAUAAAUGGAGAUAUGUACCAUGUUCCUGAACCAGAAGACUCAAAAUAGUUAACAUGUUCUCCCUAAAUUGAUGCAAAGAUUUAAAGCAAUAUCAGUCAAAAUCCUAGGAGAGUUUUGUUAUAGAAAUUGACAAACUGAAUCUAAAUUUAUAUGGAAAUGCAAAGCAAUUGUGAAGAUUAGCCAAAGCAAUUCUGAAAAACAAACAAAGCUGGAGAACUUACGCCAUGUGAUUUCAAGACUUACAAAGCUACAGUAAUUGAAGACACUGAAGCCACGCGUAAGGAAACACAUAUGGACUACUGGAACAGGCUGGAGCUCAGAAACAGACCCUGUCCAGGAAAAAAUGAUUUUCUUUUUUUCUUGAGACGGAGUCUCGCUCUGUUGCCCAGGCUAGAGUGCAGUGGCGCGAUCUCAGCUCACUGCAACCUCUGCCUCCCAGGUUCAAGCGAUUCUCCUGCCUCAGCCUCCCGAGUAGCUGGGACUACAGGUGCCCGCCACCAUGCCCGGCUAAUUUUUUGUAUUUUUAGUAGAGACGGGGUUUCACCGUGUUAGCCAGGACGGUCUUGAUCUCCUGACCUCGUGAUCCGCCUGUCUCGGGCUCCCAAAGUGCUGGGAUUACAGGCGUGAGCCACCGCGCCCGGCCGAUAAAUGAUUUUUUAAGAAGAUGACAAUUCAGCGGGAAAAAGUCUCUUCCACAAAUGGUGCCGGAACAACGCAUAUGCAAAACAAAACUGCCUUCACUAUUACUUCACAACAUAUUCAAAAAUUCACUUGAAAUGGAGCAUGAGUCUAAAAGCGUUAUAAAAUUUCUAGAAUAAAACACAGGAGAAAAACACUGGGACCUUGGGUUAGAUAAAGGUUUCUUACUAAAAUGCAAAAAGUACAAUCCACAAAACAUGAUUAAUCAGACUGCUUAAAAAUUUAAAUGUCGGCUGGGUGCUUGCCUAUAAUCCCAGCUACUCGGAGGCUGAGGCAGGAAAAUCGCUUGAACCCAGGAGGCAGAGGCUGCAGUGAGCUGAGAUCGCGCCACUGCACUUCAGCCUGGGUGACAAGAGCAAGCGACUCCAUCUAAAAAAAAAAAAUCAUGCUAAAAGAAAUAAGCCAGACACUAAAGGACAAAUAUUGUAUGAUUCCACUUAUAUGAAAUAUUCAAAAUAACAACUUUAUAGAGAAAGAAAGUAGACUGGAGGUUAUCAGGGACUGUGGGGAGGGAGGAGAGAAUGGGGAGUUAUUGUUUAAUGGUUACAGAGGUUUUCGGGUUUGUUUUGUGUUGUUUUGGUUUUUUUUGAGACAGAGUCUUGCUCUGUCAGCCAGGCUGGAGUGCAGUGGCACAAUCUCAGCUCACUGCAACCUCUGCCUCCUGGGCUCAAGCAAUUCUCCUGCCUCAGCCUCCCAAGUAGCUGGGACUACAGGCAUGUGCCACCACGCCUGGCUAAUUUUUGUAUUUUUAGUAGAGACAGGGUUUCACUAUGUUGGCCAGGCUGGUCUUGAACUCCUGACCUCAGGUGAUCUGCCCGCCUCGGCCUCCCACCGCGCGCGGUGGUUUUGGGGUUUUUUUUAGAGAUGCAGUCUCACUAUGUUACCCGAGCUGGUCUUCAACUCCUGGACUCAAAUGAUCCUCCAGCCUGUGCCUCCAGAGUAGCUAUGACCAGAUCUGGGCCACUGCCCACGGUUUAAGGGUUACAGACUUUCUGUUUCGGGUGAAGAAAAGUUUUGGAAAUAGAUAAUGGUAAUGGUUGCACAUCAUUGCAAAUGUAAUUAAUGUCACUGAAUUGUACACUUUAAAAUGGUUAAAAUGACAAAUCUGAUGUUACAUACUUUACCACAAUAAAAAAUCAAUUAAAAAAUUUGUGAUUACUCAAAUACUUAUCAGUAAUCAAUAGGUGAAUCAAGACAAAUUGUGUUAUCCAUACAAAUGAGUUCUAUUAGGUAAUAAAAUGCGUAAAUUUCUGCUACAUAUAACAUGGAUGAAUCUCAAAAGCGUUGUGUUAAGUGGAAGAAGCCAGAAACAAAAGACUACUCACAUGUUUCUAUAUAUACGAAAUUCUAGAAAAGGCAAAACUUUUAACAGAGAGCAGAUGAGCGGUUGCCAUGGGCUGAGAAUGGGAAAGAGGAUUAGUUAGCAUGGGGCAUGGGAAGCUUUCUGAAGGGGUGGAAGCAUUCUGUGUCUAGAUUCUGGUGGUGAAUACAUAACUGUAUGUAUUGACAAAACUCAUUAAACUUUGCACUUAAAAUAGGUGAAUUUUAUUGAAUUUUAACUGUAUAUCAAUAAAGCUAAUUACAAUUAAAAUGUCAUAUCUAGAUAAAUUAUAAAA